GUUAUUGUAGCUUACAACACAAAGCGUAGCACUGAAGAUGCUAAGAAGGUGCACACCCAUAUAACA
This 66-nucleotide transfer RNA is filed under the name Chilabothrus argentum (Conception Bank silver boa). RNAcentral describes it as "tRNA-Phe". The record is from RNAcentral. Lineage: Eukaryota; Metazoa; Chordata; Lepidosauria; Squamata; Boidae.